CCUACGGGAGGCAGCAGUGGGGAAUAUUGCACAAUGGGGGAAACCCUGAUGCAGCCAUGCCGCGUGUGUGAAGAAGGCCUUCGGGUUGUAAAGCACUUUCAGUAGGGAGGAAAGGUAGCCGCUUAAUACGCUGUUGCUGUGACGUUACCUACAGAAGAAGGACCGGCUAACUCCGUGCCAGCAGCCGCGGUAAU
This 194-nucleotide ribosomal RNA is filed under the name gamma proteobacterium P16. RNAcentral's name for it is "partial 16S ribosomal RNA". It matches the Rfam family "Bacterial small subunit ribosomal RNA", at positions 338 to 524 of the family's 1533-position model. The record is from RNAcentral. Lineage: Bacteria; Pseudomonadati; Pseudomonadota; Gammaproteobacteria.